UGGGGAAUUUUGGACAAUGGGCGAAAGCCUGAUCCAGCAAUGCCGCGUGUGUGAAGAAGGCCUUCGGGUUGUAAAGCACUUUUGUCCGGAAAGAAAUCCUUGGCUCUAAUACAGUCGGGGGAUGACGGUACCGGAAGAAUAAGCACCGGCUAACUACGUGCCAGCAGCCGCGGUAAUACGUAGGGUGCAAGCGUUAAUCGGAAUUACUGGGCGUAAAGCGUGCGCAGGCGGUUUGCUAAGACCGAUGUGAAAUCCCCGGGCUCAACCUGGGAACUGCAUUGGUGACUGGCAGGCUAGAGUAUGGCAGAGGGGGGUAGAAUUCCACGUGUAGCAGUGAAAUGCGUAGAGAUGUGGAGGAAUACCGAUGGCGAAGGCAGCCCCCUGGGCCAAUACUGACGCUCAUGCACGAAAGCGUGGGGGAGCAAAACAGGAUUAGAUACCCUGGUAGUCCACGCCCUAAACGAUGUCAACUAGUUGUUGGGGAUUCAUUUCCUUAGUAACGUAGCUAACGCGUGAAGUUGACCGCCUGGGGAGUACGGUCGCAAGAUUAAAACUCAAGGAAUUGACGGGGUCAUAGCUGUUUCC
This 585-nucleotide ribosomal RNA is filed under the name uncultured bacterium. RNAcentral describes it as "partial 16S ribosomal RNA". It matches the Rfam family "Bacterial small subunit ribosomal RNA", at positions 355 to 937 of the family's 1533-position model. The record is from RNAcentral.